AACUUUGCGCAGUGACAGUAUUGUAGCCAAUGAGGUUUAUCUGAGGCAUGAUUACUGCUAAUCAAAACAGAUGUACCAAUGGAUAUUCUUACCCGCACUGUACAAUGUGGUUUCUGCACAUCUUUACUAACAUUUGGUACUG
This is a small nuclear RNA of Hyaena hyaena (striped hyena), 142 nucleotides long. RefSeq annotates it as U4 spliceosomal RNA. The record is from RefSeq and is a predicted model, not a curated record. NCBI's taxonomy places the organism in Eukaryota, Metazoa, Chordata, Mammalia, Carnivora, Hyaenidae. The transcript has a single exon.